UAGUCCACGCCGUAAACGAUGGAUACUAGCUGUCCGGGUCCUUGAGACCUGGGCGGCCAAGCGAAAGUGAUAAGUAUCCCACCUGGGGAGUACGUUCGCAAGAAUGAAACUCAAAGGAAUUGACGGGGGCCCGCACAAGCGGUGGAGCAUGUGGUUUAAUUCGAUGAUACGCGAGGAACCUUACCAGGGCUUAAAUGCAUAACGACGGGUUUAGAGAUAGACUUUCCUUCGGGCGUUUUGCAAGGUGCUGCAUGGUUGUCGUCAGCUCGUGCCGUGAGGUGUCAGGUUAAGUCCUAUAACGAGCGCAACCCCUGCCGUUAGUUGCCAGCAUGUAAAGAUGGGGACUCUAACGGGACUGCCGGUGCAAACCGCGAGGAAGGUGGGGAUGACGUCAAAUCAUCACGGCCCUUACGUCCUGGGCCACACACGUGCUACAAUGCCGGUACAGAGAGCAGCCACGUCGCAAGGCGGAGCGAAUCUAUAAAACCGGUCACAGUUCGGAUCGGGGUCUACAACUGACCCCGUGAACG
This 530-nucleotide ribosomal RNA is filed under the name uncultured bacterium. RNAcentral describes it as "bacterial SSU rRNA". It matches the Rfam family "Bacterial small subunit ribosomal RNA", at positions 791 to 1325 of the family's 1533-position model. The record is from RNAcentral.